This 28-nucleotide non-coding RNA is filed under the name Homo sapiens (human). Lineage: Eukaryota; Metazoa; Chordata; Mammalia; Primates; Hominidae. The record is from RNAcentral.
UGUGACUACUCCAUAGGUACAGGCUAGA